RNAcentral lists this transfer RNA (72 nucleotides) under Lachnoclostridium sp. RNAcentral's name for it is "tRNA-Cys". It matches the Rfam family "tRNA". From Rfam's summary of the family: Transfer RNA (tRNA) molecules are approximately 80 nucleotides in length. Their secondary structure includes four short double-helical elements and three loops (D, anti-codon, and T loops). Further hydrogen bonds mediate the characteristic L-shaped molecular structure. tRNAs have two regions of fundamental functional importance: the anti-codon, which is responsible for specific mRNA codon recognition, and the 3' end, to which the tRNAs corresponding amino acid is attached (by aminoacyl-tRNA synthetases). tRNAs cope with the degeneracy of the genetic code in two manners: having more than one tRNA (with a specific anti-codon) for a particular amino acid; and 'wobble' base-pairing, i.e. permitting non-standard base-pairing at the 3rd anti-codon position. The record is from RNAcentral. Lineage: Bacteria; Bacillati; Bacillota; Clostridia; Lachnospirales; Lachnospiraceae. RNAcentral also lists the same sequence under 1 other name.
GGUGCCGUAGCCAGAAGGAAAAGGCAAGAGUCUGCAAAACUUAGAUUGUUGGUUCAAAUCCGACCGGUACCG